RNAcentral lists this ribosomal RNA (492 nucleotides) under uncultured bacterium. Its description in RNAcentral is "partial 16S ribosomal RNA". It matches the Rfam family "Bacterial small subunit ribosomal RNA", at positions 29 to 507 of the family's 1533-position model. The record is from RNAcentral.
AGUGAACGCUGGCGGUAGGCCUAACACAUGCAAGUCGAACGGCAGCACAGUAAGAGCUUGCUCUUACGGGUGGCGAGUGGCGGACGGGUGAGGAAUACAUCGGAAUCUACUUUUUCGUGGGGGAUAACGUAGGGAAACUUACGCUAAUACCGCAUACGACCUACGGGUGAAAGCAGUGGAUCUUCGGACCUUUCGCGAUUGAAUGAGCCGAUGUCGGAUUAGCUAGUUGGCUGGGUAAAGGCCCACCAAGGCGACGAUCCGUAGCUGGUCUGAGAGGAUGAUCAGCCACACUGGAACUGAGACACGGUCCAGACUCCUACGGGAGGCAGCAGUGGGGAAUAUUGGACAAUGGGCGCAAGCCUGAUCCAGCCAUACCGCGUGGGUGAAGAAGGCCUUCGGGUUGUAAAGCCCUUUUGUUGGGAAAGAAAAGCAGCAGGUUAAUACCCCGCUGUUCUGACGGUACCCAAAGAAUAAGCACCGGCUAACUUCGUG